Molecule: transfer RNA, 86 nt
Filed under: Granulosicoccus sp.
Lineage: Bacteria; Pseudomonadati; Pseudomonadota; Gammaproteobacteria; Chromatiales; Granulosicoccaceae
Also listed under: 2 other names
Description: tRNA-Leu
Rfam family: tRNA
About the family: Transfer RNA (tRNA) molecules are approximately 80 nucleotides in length. Their secondary structure includes four short double-helical elements and three loops (D, anti-codon, and T loops).
Source: RNAcentral
GCCGAGGUGGCGGAAUUGGUAGACGCGCAUGCUUCAGGUGCAUGUAUCCUUUGGAUGUGGAGGUUCAAGUCCUCUUCUCGGCACCA